RNAcentral lists this ribosomal RNA (440 nucleotides) under uncultured bacterium. RNAcentral describes it as "partial 16S ribosomal RNA". It matches the Rfam family "Bacterial small subunit ribosomal RNA", at positions 338 to 795 of the family's 1533-position model. The record is from RNAcentral.
CCUACGGGAGGCAGCAGUGGGGAAUAUUGCACAAUGGGGGAAACCCUGAUGCAGCGACGCCGCGUGAAGGAAGAAGUAUUUCGGUAUGUAAACUUCUAUCAGCAGGGAAGAAAAUGACGGUACCUGACUAAGAAGCCCUGGCUAACUACGUGCCAGCAGCCGCGGUAAUACGCAGGGGGCAAGCGUUAUCCGGAUUUACUGGGUGUAAAGGGAGCGUAGGCGGUUUAGCAAGUCAGAAGUGAAAGCCCCGGGCUCAAAUCCGGGACUGCUUUUGAAACUGUUGCACUAGAUUGCAGGAGAGGUAAGUGGAAUUCCUAGUGUAGCGGUGAAAUGCGUAGAUAUUAGGAGGAACACCAGUGGCGAAGGCGGCUUUCUGGACUGAGACUGACGCUGAGGCACGAAAGCGUGGGGAGCGAACAGGAUUAGAUACCCCGGUAGUC